UACAGAGGGGGCCAGCGUUAUUCGGAAUUAUUGGGCGUAAAGCGCGUGUAGGCGGCUAUCUAAGUCUGGUGUGAAAGCCCUGGGCUCAACCCGGGAAGUGCACUGGAUACUGGAUAGCUAGAGGACGAGAGAGGAGAGUGGAAUUCCUGGUGUAGGGGUGAAAUCCGUAGAUAUCAGGAGGAACAUCAGCGGCGAAGGCGGCUCUCUGGCUCGUAUCUGACGCUGAGACGCGAAAGCGUGGGGAGCAAACAGG
This 253-nucleotide ribosomal RNA is filed under the name uncultured bacterium. Its description in RNAcentral is "partial 16S ribosomal RNA". It matches the Rfam family "Bacterial small subunit ribosomal RNA", at positions 524 to 776 of the family's 1533-position model. The record is from RNAcentral.